AUGUAGUUGAUUUGUGUUAACGUAGUUUAUUUGUGUCCAUGUAUUUUAUUUGUUUUCAUUUCGUUUUUUUUUGUGCUAAGGUAAUUUAUUUGUGUUAUGUUGUUUAUUUGUGUUAAGGUAAUUUGUUUGUAUUUAUGUAGUUUAUUUGUGUUAAUGUGUAUGUCGCUGACGUGUGUUCUUGCCAUUUAUUUGUGUUUAGGUUGUUUAUUUGUGUUAAGGUAAUUUAUUUUUGUUUACGUAGUUUAUUGUAUUUCUAUAGUUUAAAUCUAUUUGUGCUCAG
Long non-coding RNA from Ictalurus punctatus (channel catfish), 280 nucleotides. The record is from Ensembl. NCBI's taxonomy places the organism in Eukaryota, Metazoa, Chordata, Actinopteri, Siluriformes, Ictaluridae.